Molecule: long non-coding RNA, 253 nt
Filed under: Mytilus galloprovincialis (Mediterranean mussel)
Lineage: Eukaryota; Metazoa; Mollusca; Bivalvia; Mytilida; Mytilidae
Source: RNAcentral
UGGUUUUUGUUACUCUACUUAUACAAAGCUUUUUGACACACUUGUAUGGUCAGUCAUCGAUUAUGGUGCUUCAAUAUGGGGAACAAGAGAACUCUCUUGCAUAAAUGCCGUUAAAAACAGAGCGAUGAGAUUUUUUAUGGGUGUAGGAAAGUAUACACCAAACUUAUCUCUGUAUGGUGAUAUGGGCUGGAUUCCAUGCAAUGUAAAGCAAUGGACAGCUGUUUUUAGAUUAUGGUCCAGAUUUUGUAAAAUG